Molecule: ribosomal RNA, 235 nt
Filed under: uncultured Actinomycetales bacterium
Lineage: Bacteria; Bacillati; Actinomycetota; Actinomycetes; Actinomycetales
Description: partial 16S ribosomal RNA
Rfam family: Bacterial small subunit ribosomal RNA
Source: RNAcentral
UGGCGAACGGGUGAGUAACACGUGGGUGAUCUGCCCUGCACUUCGGGAUAAGCCUGGGAAACUGGGUCUAAUACCGGAUAGGAGCCAUUUUUAGUGUGAUGGUUGGAAAGUUUUUUCGGUGUAGGAUGAGCUCGCGGCCUGUCAGCUUGUUGGUGGGGUAAUGGCCUACCAAGGCGUCGACGGGUAGCCGGCCUGAGAGGGUGUACGGCCACAUUGGGACUGAGAUACGGCCCAG